Neogale vison (American mink) is the source of this 430-nucleotide long non-coding RNA. RefSeq lists it as uncharacterized. NCBI's taxonomy places the organism in Eukaryota, Metazoa, Chordata, Mammalia, Carnivora, Mustelidae. The transcript has 4 exons. The record is from RefSeq and is a predicted model, not a curated record.
UUUUUAAAAGAGAAACUGUCCUAGAAAGUGCCUUUUGUCUUCACCACAGAACAUCCCCGGUGGUGCGACUGCUGACCAUGGCAGGCAUUUGUUGAACCUCUGCCCACAUCUGGGAUGAGCACAGUGUUGCUGGCUUUUUGUGGAUUCCUGAUUCUUUAGGAGAGAGACUGCUAGCCAGCCGACCGUAAGGAUUACUCUUGCAUCAUUCCUUCUAGGCAAUACUCACAUUUUAGCAGAGUCCACCACGGCAAGUUUGCAGAGGGAGGGGAGUUCCAGGUUCCUGGUCGCCAUGAUACUGCUGGCCCAGGUGGGAUAGACCAGGCAUGGAGGUGUCAACUGCACGGAGGAGUGAUGGAAUUAGACCAGCCCCACAGGAAGAAACUCCGGAGUCCCAAAGGUGCCUGGGGAUUCAUUGAACUCUGCGACAAGA